UUCUAUUUGGAAACAGCCUCUCUACCCCAGGGUAGAGGUAAGGUCUGCGUAUAUACUACCCUCCCCAGACUCCACUAUGUGGCAUUAUACUGGGUUGUUGUUGUUGUUGUUGUCGUCGUCUAUUCUAUUCAGUAGUCAGAGGAUUCACCAAGUUAGACUAGUUUUACAUCCGUAGUCAACCUACAGGGUACAACAACGCUCUUCUUUUUAUCCAGGUUCAGGACUGGCUACAUUUGCAAAAAUCACACAGUCGAAGUUAAUGUGUUAGAUAUUUAAACACACACCCUCUCUUGCUCUUCAAGCUGAGGGGCAAGUCCAUAGAUAGCCAUUCCCACGGAUGCUAUUUAGAAAUUAACCAUUACUUAUUUUGUCCUUUAAUUUUAAACUGAAAAUCUUAACUUCAAGACACUUUUACCCCAAAAGUUGAACUGGAAAACUAAAAUUCAAAAUGUACUGGCUAAUAUCUUAAUAGCAGCCCUUUAGAGUAGCUACGUGGUGUCAUAUGAUCACUCAAAAUGCAAUGUCGACAAUUCGGGCCCUAAUAAUUGGAGCUUACUGGGAGUUAGGCUUCCAUCUAUUCCAACCAAGUAUAUUCAUACAUAUCAACAUCAAACUUAUAUACACUAUUUUCAUAUAGUAGCGUAGGUGAUGGAUGCCGAAGGCAAUAAAAUAUUAGGCAGUGAUUGAAGCAAUAAAUGUUUUCAUAACCAAUGUCCCUUUAAGGCCACUUGCAAAGUAGGAUCCACGACAUAUACAUUUUUUUUUUUUUUGACAUGUUGAUCCAGGUUCUAACCAAAGUCCCUCUAAGGCCAUUUGCAAAGUAAGAUCCACGACAUAUACAUUUAUUUUUUUUUGACAUGUUGAUCCAGGUUACAUCAGGAAAAUAUUUGCUUGUACAAACUCUUACAAGUGACUCAUAAACUAGAGAAGCUUCUUUCUUUUUGUGUUGGACCACUUAAUAUGAAAUCCUUGCUACAUAACCUACUGUGCAUAAACUAAAGCAGCCACAUACCAAGUUUUCUUAGUUUUCCAUGCAUUAAAAUUUUCUCCCACAUGUGAUUGUAAAGGCUAUUAAAUGGUAUAGUUAAUUUCCUUGGAUGGUCACCAUCUAAAGAAAGAGACUUUCUUGCAAUUUCCUAUUCGUAUAUGUAAUUGUCUCACACUUUCUUUUGUCACAGACCAAGCUAAUUAUUCAUUCUAAAUUCAAUCAGUUGAAGUUGAUUGCAUUUCUCUCUCUCUUGUUCUCUUUUGGCUUUAUAUCCUACUUGGUAGGUCGGAAAUUAAUAAGGGGUAUGUGUUGGCACCUCACAUGUCACUUACCUAUAAUCUAAACAUGGAAAACGUAAACAUGUAUAGUUGGCAUUUCAGUGUCAAUGCCGUAAUAACAGAUCAUGUACAUGCAGCCCUACGCACUUUCAUAGUCAUGUUUGGUGAAAGAAAUUAAUUUCAAAAAGAGAACUUACUGCAAUUUUCACCCCNNN
Molecule: long non-coding RNA, 1481 nt
Filed under: Nicotiana benthamiana
Lineage: Eukaryota; Viridiplantae; Streptophyta; Magnoliopsida; Solanales; Solanaceae
Description: long non-coding RNA (NBEN_LNC011505)
Source: RNAcentral